GGAAGGGUCGCUCAGCGGUAGAGCACCGCGGUGUCACCUGACCCGCGGCGGCAUCAUGCCUCGUGGCGUUCAAAUCCCACCCCUUCCG
RNAcentral lists this transfer RNA (88 nucleotides) under Natronorubrum thiooxidans. RNAcentral's name for it is "tRNA_Arg_GCG". It matches the Rfam family "tRNA". From Rfam's summary of the family: Transfer RNA (tRNA) molecules are approximately 80 nucleotides in length. Their secondary structure includes four short double-helical elements and three loops (D, anti-codon, and T loops). Further hydrogen bonds mediate the characteristic L-shaped molecular structure. tRNAs have two regions of fundamental functional importance: the anti-codon, which is responsible for specific mRNA codon recognition, and the 3' end, to which the tRNAs corresponding amino acid is attached (by aminoacyl-tRNA synthetases). tRNAs cope with the degeneracy of the genetic code in two manners: having more than one tRNA (with a specific anti-codon) for a particular amino acid; and 'wobble' base-pairing, i.e. permitting non-standard base-pairing at the 3rd anti-codon position. The record is from RNAcentral. Lineage: Archaea; Methanobacteriati; Methanobacteriota; Halobacteria; Halobacteriales; Natrialbaceae.